This 72-nucleotide transfer RNA is filed under the name Bos taurus (domestic cattle). It matches the Rfam family "tRNA". From Rfam's summary of the family: Transfer RNA (tRNA) molecules are approximately 80 nucleotides in length. RNAcentral also lists the same sequence under 1 other name. The record is from Rfam by way of RNAcentral. Lineage: Eukaryota; Metazoa; Chordata; Mammalia; Artiodactyla; Bovidae.
UCCCUGGUGGCUCAGAUGGUAAAGCAUCUGCCUGCAAUGCAGGAAACCCGGAUUCGACCCCUGGGUUGGGAA